UAAUAUCGGAUAACGCAUAUGUGCUGGAAUGCUUUAUGCGUAAAACGGAUUCGUCCGCCCAAGGAUGGGUCUGCGGCCUAUCAGGUAGUAGUGGGUGUAAUGUACCUACUAGCCAACAACGGGUACGGGUUGUGAGAGCGAGAGCCCGGAGAUGGAUUCUGAGACACGAAUCCAGGCCCUACGGGGCGCAGCAGUCGCGAAAACUUCACAAUGGGGGCAACCCCGAUGAGGGAAUUCCUAGUGCUAGCACAAUUGUGUUAGCUUUUCUCUAGCGUAGAUAACUGGAGGAAUAAGGGCUGGGAAAGACGGGUGCCAGCCGCCGCGGUAAUACCUGCAGCCCAAGUGGUGGUCGAUUUUAUUGAGUCUAAAACGUUCGUAGCCGGUUCGAUAAAUCUUUGGGUAAAUCGGGGGGCUCAACCUUCCGACUUCCGAGGAGACUGUCGAACUUGGGACCGGGAGAGGCUAGAGGUACUUCUGGGGUAGGGGUAAAAUCCUGUAAUCCUAGAAGGACCACCGGUGGCGAAGGCGUCUAGCUAGAACGGAUCCGACGGUGAGGGACGAAGCCCUGGGUCGCAAACGGGAUUAGAUACCCCGGUAGUCCAGGGUGUAACGCUGCAGACUUGGUGU
Molecule: ribosomal RNA, 627 nt
Filed under: uncultured archaeon
Lineage: Archaea
Description: bacterial SSU rRNA
Rfam family: Archaeal small subunit ribosomal RNA
Source: RNAcentral